RNAcentral lists this long non-coding RNA (241 nucleotides) under Capsicum annuum. RNAcentral's name for it is "long non-coding RNA (CANN_LNC019120)". The record is from RNAcentral. Lineage: Eukaryota; Viridiplantae; Streptophyta; Magnoliopsida; Solanales; Solanaceae.
UACAAAGUCGUGUCUAUGUAGAGUCUUGUUUAUGUGCAUGUUGUACACCACAUCUAUAAACAUGAGGCUAUGCAACAUUUAGGGGUUGUCUCUUUUUCUUCAUAUCUUAGAUCAUACAAUAGAUCCCAUGUUGUAGGUGAAGUCCUAUUUAACCAUUGAAUUAAUUUUUUUCCUUUUACUAUAGUAAAGAUUCCAAUUACAAGGAGGAGAUAAUAGGUUCUAGUAGUGCACAUAGGUCAGC